This 407-nucleotide ribosomal RNA is filed under the name uncultured bacterium. RNAcentral describes it as "partial 16S ribosomal RNA". It matches the Rfam family "Bacterial small subunit ribosomal RNA", at positions 30 to 526 of the family's 1533-position model. The record is from RNAcentral.
AUUGAACGCUGGCGGCAGGCCUAACACAUGCAAGUCGAGCGGAGCGGCGGACGGGUGAGUAAUGACUAGGAAUCUGCCUGGUAGUGGGGGAUAACGUCCGGAAACGGGCGCUAAUACCGCACACUUUCUGAUGAGCCUAGGUCGGAUUCGCUAGUUGGUGGGGUAAAGGCCUACAAAGGCGACGAUCCGUAACUGGUCUGAGGGGAUGAUCAGGCACACUGGAACUGAGACACGGUCCAGACGCCUACGGGAGGCAGCAGGGGGGAAUAUGGGGCAAUGGGCGAAAGCCUGAUACAGCCAUGCCGCGGGUGUGAAGAAGGUCUUCGGAUUGUAAAGCUCUUUAAGUUGGGAGGCGGUACCAACAGAAUAAGCACCGGCUAACUUCGUGCCAGCAGCCGCGGUAAUAC